Long non-coding RNA from Austrofundulus limnaeus, 1424 nucleotides. RefSeq lists it as uncharacterized. The record is from RefSeq and is a predicted model, not a curated record. Lineage: Eukaryota; Metazoa; Chordata; Actinopteri; Cyprinodontiformes; Rivulidae. The transcript is spliced from 3 exons.
AGAAACAAAGACAGUGUCAUUAUGACAGACCACUGCUGAAACCAGCUGUCCACAAGGCCAGUCUGUGUUUACAUAAGAUGAAAUAAUCUGGUUAUCAUCAUUUUCUGCAGAAACCUGAUUCAAUCAGUUAUCUGAGCCAAGAUGGGUUUCUUUAUCAAGAUGAGUCUGCUUCACAUGGUCAGAUUUAGCAGUAAAACACUGAGGRCACACUAUAAAAACACUGCACAGAAUGAAAAUAGAAAAAAAAGAGAGAACAGAAAUAAAAACUGUUUGACUAUAAAAUAAUGUUUGAUAAAAUAAAGACUUGCAGUUUAAUUUCAUCUCUUUGUUACUGAGAUAUGCCAUUGAAGGAUAUAAAAGGGAUUUGUGUAAAUAAAAUUCACAGCAAAAUAAACUUUUGAUCCUUUGCUUAUAAAACUUUCCAGCUUUUUCUCCCUUACAGACAGGAGGGAGAAGUUGAGACUCAGAGCAGAGCUGCUGCUUCUCCACAUCCAGAGGAACGAGCUGAGAUGGUUCAGGCUAAGGAUGCCACCUGGAUUACUCCCUAAGGAGGAUUUCCAGGCAUGUCCUACUGGGAGGAGAACCCGGGGAAGACUCGGGACACACUGGAGAGAUUAUACCUCUCAGCUGGUCUGGAACACCUUGGGAGUCCUGGAAAAGAUGGCUGUGGAAUGAAACUCGCUGCUGAAGCUGCUGCCUGGAACAAGCAGCAGAUACUGGAUGGAUAGAUAUCGAUUUGAAAUUUUGCCAUGGAUUGUAACUAAACCACCCAGAAACAAGAAGCUUCCAUCACUGGAAACAAAGCAUAAAACAAUAUCUGUCCCAGUUUCUGUUGGAGGACUUGUGUACCGUCAUCGUCAGCGGCAAAAUACAACCCAUCAGGACCAAGGUCGAAGCAAGAAUGUCCCAAACUCAGCAGCAACACAAGAAACAAGGAGUGUCUCUGAAUUAUCAACACACCAACAGCUGCUGGUGACCUCUGAUGUGUUGGUGUGUUUUUAAAGUAAGAAAUAAACAAUAAUAUGUCUCUGACAAUAUUUAUUUAAAAUGUCACUGGAUUUUAUACUCAGACAUCUGAUUGAAGAUUUUUGUUUUGGAUGUAAAAAUCAGAAGGACGGCCUGGAAAACAAAGUAAAAUCUGUUUUUUUUUUUUGCUCUGGUGCAUUUUUAUUUUAGAUUCCUGCAUACAACCUGAAGCAAACACAACUAAUAUCUAAAUAUAACUGAGUAAUGCAUUAUGAGUCAUCUAGUUUCCCAGCUGUUUAUUAUUAAAAGACCCAAUUUGACCAGCCAGAUUAAAAGUCAGAUCAUUUAACUGAUUACAAUGUGUCCUUUUGGGAAUCAGGAACGCUGCAACUAAUUAUUAAAGGGAUCCAUGAUUAGUUGUAACAUUAGACUUUAUUUAAUAAACAUAUAUUUUAACU